This 253-nucleotide ribosomal RNA is filed under the name uncultured bacterium. RNAcentral's name for it is "partial 16S ribosomal RNA". It matches the Rfam family "Bacterial small subunit ribosomal RNA", at positions 524 to 776 of the family's 1533-position model. The record is from RNAcentral.
UACGUAGGGGGCAAGCGUUGUCCGGAAUCAUUGGGCGUAAAGCGCGCGUAGGCGGCCCGAUCAGUCCGCUGUAAAAGUCCAGGGCUCAACCCUGGAAAGCCGGUGGAUACUGUCGGGCUGGAGUCCGGAAGAGGCGAGUGGAAUUCCUGGUGUAGCGGUGGAAUGCGCAGAUAUCAGGAAGAACACCAACGGCGAAGGCAGCUCGCUGGGACGGUACUGACGCUGAGACGCGAAAGCGUGGGGAGCGAACAGG